RNAcentral lists this ribosomal RNA (548 nucleotides) under beta proteobacterium K17. Its description in RNAcentral is "bacterial SSU rRNA". It matches the Rfam family "Bacterial small subunit ribosomal RNA", at positions 355 to 896 of the family's 1533-position model. Lineage: Bacteria; Pseudomonadati; Pseudomonadota; Betaproteobacteria. The record is from RNAcentral.
UGGGGAAUUUUGGACAAUGGGCGCAAGCCUGAUCCAGCAAUGCCGCGUGCAGGAAGAAGGCCUUCGGGUUGUAAACUGCUUUUGUACGGAACGAAACGGUCUGGGUUAAUACCCUGGGCUAAUGACGGUACCGUAAGAAUAAGCACCGGCUAACUACGUGCCAGCAGCCGCGGUAAUACGUAGGGUGCAAGCGUUAAUCGGAAUUACUGGGCGUAAAGCGUGCGCAGGCGGUUUUGUAAGACAGUCGUGAAAUCCCCGGGCUCAACCUGGGAAUUGCGAUUGUGACUGCAAAGCUGGAGUGCGGCAGAGGGGGAUGGAAUUCCGCGUGUAGCAGUGAAAUGCGUAGAUAUGCGGAGGAACACCGAUGGCGAAGGCAAUCCCCUGGGCCUGCACUGACGCUCAUGCACGAAAGCGUGGGGAGCAAACAGGAUUAGAUACCCUGGUAGUCCACGCCCUAAACGAUGUCAACUGGUUGUUGGGUCUCUUCUGACUCAGUAACGAAGCCAACGCGUGAAGUUGACCGCCUGGGGAGUACGGCCGCAAGGCUG